RNAcentral lists this ribosomal RNA (253 nucleotides) under uncultured bacterium. RNAcentral's name for it is "partial 16S ribosomal RNA". It matches the Rfam family "Bacterial small subunit ribosomal RNA", at positions 524 to 776 of the family's 1533-position model. The record is from RNAcentral.
UACGGAGGAUGCAAGCGUUAUCCGGAAUCAUUGGGCGUAAAGCGUCCGCAGGUGGCUAUUCAAGUCUGUUGUUAAAGACUAGAGCUCAACUCUGGAAAGGCAAUGGAAACUGUGUAGCUAGAGUAUGGUAGGGGUUGAGGGAAUUCCCAGUGUAGCGGUGAAAUGCGUAGAUAUUGGGAAGAACACCAGUGGCGAAGGCGCUCAACUGGGCCAUAACUGACACUCAGGGACGAAAGCUAGGGGAGCGAAAGGG